UACGGCGGCCAUGGCGAAGGGGAAACACCCGGUAACAUUCCGAACCCGGAAGUUAAGCCCUUCAGCGCCGAUGGUACUGCACGGGAGACUGUGUGGGAGAGUAGGACGCCGCCGGACA
RNAcentral lists this ribosomal RNA (118 nucleotides) under Mumia flava. The record is from RNAcentral. Lineage: Bacteria; Bacillati; Actinomycetota; Actinomycetes; Propionibacteriales; Nocardioidaceae.